CACACACACACACACACACACACACACACACACACGUUGAAUAGACAUCACUGGUUUAUUCAUGUUUAUUAGCUUUCCAAAAGAUAAAAGGGAUGCCACUGCUAUAUUCAGCAAAUAUAAAAUAUAUUAUUAUUCAUGUCUCUGUCUCUUAACGUAGUAGGACUAAACCUUUGGUCCUGAUCUUCUUGACACAUUUUAAACCCUAUUGUGCUGACCUUACCUUUUGAAUAGCCUAUAUAAUAAUUAAAACGCGGAGCGAAGAAGACAAUCACAGUUCACAGAAUUCACAACCCAUUUAUAAAGAUAUGAAUCAGCAACCUUUAGCCUAUAUGCUGAUGUCUUAUAUGUAUAAUGUUUCCCAUUUAUUUUGUGAUAAAUGUACAUCAGCCGGAUGGUACAACCUACGUAAAUUUAUAUAUACUUCUUUAUGUAACCCAGUCGAGAAUUGUAUCUCUUAAAGUGUAAUUUUUAUUCUCAUUAUUACUUUCUGUUUGCUAAAACAUGUGUCAUUCAAGGUAAGGGUGCUUAGACUUGGUUCUUAUUGGUUAUAUCAGUCAAUGCAGACAUCUGAUUGGAGACGGGAAUUAAGUGCCACCCCUCCAUUUUGAAUCUUGGCAGCGCAGUCAAAGCGACAGAGCCAGCAGACGGUCUGGGUCAUAAAUCAAUUCAUCUAAAACGAGUGAAAGUGGAUAAAUGAAUUAAGGCGACCUUGAGAUAAAACUUAUGUGAAGUUGAAUACGGGAUUCUACACUCGGUGUGCCAGGAGUUAACCGCAUUUGGUAAAGUAUUGAAAGAACAUUACAGAAAAUGACCAUCCUUACCAUAACAACCCUACUUUUGAGCAAGGGAAUUCUGACAGCGGCUCACUUUACCAUGGUUUUGCACUUGGUGGUUCAAUGUCGGUCAAAACAUGACGCCGCAGUGAGCUGUUUUUAUUUAUUUUUUUACUGAUAUGUUAACUUGACAUUGUAUUUACUGCUUUGAUAUUGAGAGUGUUGACGCAUUGUUACUGAGAGUUAAAGCAUCAUAUCUCUGCUAGAAAAUAUAAAAAUUAUGAGUUGUAGAUCAAGUCUUUUACUUUGAUGCUGUAUUUGAUAACUUUUGUACUUUUGUUAGUGUUGAACUGUUUACACUUGAAGCGUGGCUACCCAGUUAUGCACUGCUAGUGCUAAUGAUAAUGUGUAAAAAUGUGUCAAAUACCUGAUGUGUUGUUACUCAGUUCAUGAUUUAAAGAGGUAAUGUGUGUAUUUCGAAAAUUUAAAGGGUCCGACGUUAGUUUGAUGCUUCAAGAAUUAAAUAAUCAUACAUCAUGAUUAUUUAUAAAAGCUAAAAAAAAAAGUGCACGAAUGGUGUAAAAAUUAUAAUAUACUUCAUAUGAGAAAUGCUGUAAUGUUUUAUUAAUUUAUUUACUAUUGUGUUGCAGUAGUCUUUUUAAAAUUUUGACGUGAUUUAAUAUAGUAUGGCAACAGAGGACUGGAAUUUCAUGACUAAGUAUAAUAAUACCCUUGUUUUUGUGCAGGCUAGGUUUUGAAAUUUCCUGGAAAAACCCUUAGAUUUUGGAUUAUCCUUGACGAAGGACAUGGCAAGCCAGUACUGAACCUGAUCCUUAAUCCAAGAAGUUGUACCAAGAUCACCUUUUGCCCAGAGGAGGAGACCACCCCACCCUUCAUUCCCCAUCACUUACAGGGUACAGGGGUGGUGGGACUGUGAAAACCUCACACCUUGCCACUUGACUUGUUGUGACAGACCUAAAGCACUUUAAAACUGAAACUUACUAUCCUACUAAAAAGGAACAAACUUGAACUUGAAUGGAUCAAAUGUAUCCUGAACUCAAUAAAUCCUGAACUCUAUUCCAUACUGGAGGCAUUUUCCUUUGUUGCUGUGAAUUGUGUAUGUAGUAUAACCAUUUUAGGUUAUUUUUGUUAAUUUGUAAACAAAACAAACACAUUUUUUCAUAAUACAACUUUCAAUACAUUCACAUUUCAAGUUAAACUGUGACUCAAGUUGCUUACUGUGUCUCGCAUUCUCUUUCAACUCCUCCUAUGAGCCUAGACAGUUUUAUAUUUAAUUGUUAAAUAUAUUUUAGUAUUCUGUUAACUCUGCGUGGGUCGCAAUAAUUUUUUGCUCCUUUCAUGCCAAUAAGCCUCAAGUCUCCACAGGACACAAAACAGGGAUUAAACCAACUGGGCCACAGACAGGGCCAUUCAGAGGGAAUCAUGCCCUGUGUUCUAGUGAAGGGUGGCUGAACAGAGGUGGGUAUUUUCCCACACUCACCAAUUUGGCUCCAAAUGUUGUUUUUAUGAAUAUCUUCAAGGAAUCAACAAGCAGAGGAAGUAGACCCCUAACCCCUCUCUAGCCCCAGCUUUUACUCAUGCCAGCCAAGUCCAAAUGAAGCUCAAAGUUUGUCUUUUUAGGCUUCAAAGGAAGAAGAAUCUUGCAGCUAAACUUUUCCUUACUCUGCUAAAUCAAAAUAAAUUGGUGUGCUGGGAAAGAAAAUGUGAUGUGUUGGCACUAGUGACUAUUGUCACUAGUCAUGGACAUAAUAACAGUUAUUAAUCUGUUUUUUAUAGUUUUCUGUAAACAUUCAUGUUUUUAAUGUUGUCAUGGUCCAUUUUGCCAUACUUUUGUGUGUUAUAUUUAUUAGGAGAUUAAUGUUCAUUUGAGUGAGCAGUAACUUUUCCCUUAUGGCUUGCAAAAAACAACCAAAAAUGAGAGCUUUGAAGAGCUUUCAUUAUUUUAAUUAGAACCAGAAUAAGAAAAUGGACAUUUCCAAACAUAUUUCUUAACACUUUAAAGAAGGAAAUUCCUAAACAAAACAUGAGUGAAAACUACCAUCAAUGGGACAAUUAGGAACAGAUUAAUAUCCAUUAAUUUUGUGGGUUUAGACUGUGAUGUUUAAUGUGUAAAAUGUAGCCACAUUUACAAAACAUUGUACUGACAAUACACCCUUGGUUUUCAAACAUCCAGUAGCAGCAUACAAUGAUACAUUCAAAUUAAAAUGAACAUUCAAAUUAAAACGGAGGAGGAAAUUGUCCAUUGUCUAUUGUCCUCCUUGCCUUGACUGAGAGCUGUUGUACCGUCUGAUGGCCAGGGGGACGAAAGAGUUUGUCUGUUGGUGGAGCUGGAUUGGGACAUGAAUGUACUGCAAACAAUAAGCCACAGCCUUUAAGCAUUGUGGAAUUUAGCUUGAAUUUCAUACACAAAAGUGACACGGUUCAGGGUUUUUUGUGUGCAUGUGUUUGGUUUUUUUUUACUCUGAUAUUCCAUGUAAGUGUCAUCUGUAUCCGACAUGGACCUCAUGGUGCCUGUUCGCCUAGAGAACUGAUAUGGAGAGAGAAAGAAAUGUGAGUACUGUAAUAUGCGAUAGCACAAUUAAGCAUGCAAAGGAAAUUAAAUAUAUGUCCUUUCUGAGUACAAGUCCCCACCUGUGGCUGGCACCCAGCUCUCCUGCCAGGUAUCAACAACAGAACAGGUGAAGUUCUCUUAUCAUGUAAACUAUCUCUACAUGGAAGAUGCUCUCUGUGAAACCAGUUCCUUUUCUUGUUCAUUCUUGUUGUGUUAUUCUAAAGUAAUCCCAUAUUCGCUGUUGCCAGAAUAACUCAUAUUUCAGAUUUUCAGUUUUCAGUCCAGACUAGAUCUGAUUAAACCAAACACUUUUGAAUACAUGAUAUCAGGGGCAAGUGUAUAGAUAACAGAAACUGAAAAAGGGAAAUUGAAUUUACAGAGACAAAAGACACUUAAAACUGAUACUACACUUAUAUCAGGCUGAAAUAACCUGUAGAACUUUUAGAUUCUGUGUCUAGUGUGCCUAGAGUGCAAUUGCUCCUGUUCUGUGAGAGCAAACUUAAAUGGGUAUGGGCCAAAUUUUGCACAAAAGAUAUGUACUGUCUGGUAUAGGAAGAGGGUGCAAUUCUGUGGGGAGAUCAUGUAAAAUUAUUGUUGUUGUUGAACACACCCUAAAGCUGUAACCCUGGUCCACCAGGAAACUCUGUCCCAGGACACCAAAGAGAUGGCUUAAUUCACAAAGAGGCAUCCUGGAGGUGUCCUGGGACAGUGAACAGAAGUGUGCAUUGUACUCCUCUGCCACCAUUCCUAUAAGCAGUCAGGUGGAGUGAGAAUGAAAUGUUUUGUUCAUAGAAGAAAAAUAAAUUUAUGUCAGCAUGUGUCACACAUAACAAUCAAUAUGUUGUGUUUUUUUCCAGACAGACAUUUCUUGGUUCACAAGACUCUGGCAAACCUCUGGGCCUCCUGUCUGCGUGAUCCACCAUGGGAUUAGAUCUGGAUGAGAAGAUUGGCUUCUGGAAAGUCAAAUGAGGUGUCUCCUACCUAUUUGGUAGAAAGGGUGUAUCACUUAUACACAGACAUGAAAUGUUACCACUGUAUCACUUUUGCAGUAUGCAUUUACUGUUUUAUUAAAGGAAAACAUGUUUCAGAUUU
Long non-coding RNA from Dicentrarchus labrax (European seabass), 4437 nucleotides. RefSeq lists it as uncharacterized. NCBI's taxonomy places the organism in Eukaryota, Metazoa, Chordata, Actinopteri, Moronidae. The transcript is spliced from 2 exons. The record is from RefSeq and is a predicted model, not a curated record.